AAAAAACAACUCAAUUACAAGUGGCCCAAACGCUAAACCCAAUUAGCCAAAACCUAAGCCCAAAUAACCUUAGCCCAAUUACGGAGGCCUAACACUUAGCCUAGCUGAAACAGAAAACCCUAGGGUUUCCAACUCCCCUUCAGCCGCCGACGCUAGCACACAUGUACGCUCCCCCCACUCGCGCUUGCCUCUUCACGCACAGCCUCCGUACAUGCGCGCCCGCGCACCUCCGUACCCGUACCUACACAACAAACCAGCAGCAAACAGAAAGAGAAAAAGAAAAAUAGCAAAAUAGCAACAGAAAAUAAAAAAAUAGAAAAAAU
Molecule: long non-coding RNA, 323 nt
Filed under: Gossypium barbadense (sea-island cotton)
Lineage: Eukaryota; Viridiplantae; Streptophyta; Magnoliopsida; Malvales; Malvaceae
Description: long non-coding RNA (GBAR_LNC018397)
Source: RNAcentral